Molecule: transfer RNA, 74 nt
Filed under: Listeria monocytogenes
Lineage: Bacteria; Bacillati; Bacillota; Bacilli; Caryophanales; Listeriaceae
Description: tRNA-Cys
Rfam family: tRNA
About the family: Transfer RNA (tRNA) molecules are approximately 80 nucleotides in length.
Source: RNAcentral
GGCGCCAUAGCCAAGUGGUAAGGCAGAGGUCUGCAAAACUUUUAUCACCGGUUCAAAUCCGGUUGGCGCCUCCA